RNAcentral lists this ribosomal RNA (254 nucleotides) under uncultured bacterium. RNAcentral describes it as "partial 16S ribosomal RNA". It matches the Rfam family "Bacterial small subunit ribosomal RNA", at positions 524 to 776 of the family's 1533-position model. The record is from RNAcentral.
CACGUAGGGUGCGAGCGUUGUCCGGAAUUAUUGGGCGUAAAGAGCUCGUAGGCGGUGUGUCGCGUCGGCCGUGAAAACCUGCAGCUUAACUGUGGGCUUGCGGUCGAUACGGGCAUCACUGGAGUUCGGCAGGGGAGGCUGGAAUUCCUGGUGUAGCGGUGAAAUGCGCAGAUAUCAGGAGGAACACCGGUGGCGAAGGCGGGUCUCUGGGCCGAUACUGACGCUGAGGAGCGAAAGCGUGGGGAGCGAACAGG